AACGCACGAGACCUGCGGACCUGCGGAGGGAUCAUUACAAGUUGAAACGGUCGCCCUCGCGGUGGCCGGUUCUUCAAACCUCUGCGUACCAAACCUUUCAGUUGCCUCCGGCGGCCCUGGGCCGACGCGGCGCGCGACCUCCCCUCGCGGGGGGGCCGCUCCUCGCGGCGGACCACCCGCCGGGCGGUCGCAAACAAAACCUUUUGUCGAGAUGGCAUCGUCUAAUUUCUUCAUAACAAA
RNAcentral lists this unclassified non-coding RNA (240 nucleotides) under soil metagenome. Its description in RNAcentral is "partial contains 5.8S ribosomal RNA, internal transcribed spacer 2, and large subunit ribosomal RNA". The record is from RNAcentral.